Molecule: ribosomal RNA, 489 nt
Filed under: uncultured bacterium
Lineage: Bacteria
Description: bacterial SSU rRNA
Rfam family: Bacterial small subunit ribosomal RNA
Source: RNAcentral
GAUCAUGCUCAGGACGAACGCUGGCGGCGCGCCUAACACAUGCAAGUCGAACGGAGUUAUUGAAAGCUUGCUUUGAUAACUUAGUGGCGGACGGGUGAGUAACACGUGAGUAACCUGCCUUUCAGUGGGGAAUAACGGCUGGAAACGGUCGCUAAUACCGCAUAAUGUAUUUUGUCGGCAUCGACGGAAUACCAAAGAUUUAUCGCUGAGAGAUGGACUCGCGUCCGAUUAGCUAGUUGGUGAGGUAAUGGCUCACCAAGGCGACGAUCGGUAGCCGGACUGAGAGGUUGAACGGCCACAUUGGGACUGAGACACGGCCCAGACUCCUACGGGAGGCAGCAGUGGGGGAUAUUGCACAAUGGGGGAAACCCUGAUGCAGCGACGCCGCGUGUAGGAAGACGGUCCUCUGGAUUGUAAACUACUGUCUUCGGGGACGAUAAUGACGGUACCCGAGGAGGAAGCUCCGGCUAACUACGUGCCAGCAGCCGC